GAGUUUGAUCGUGGCUCAGAGUGAACGCUGGCGAUAGGCCUAACACAUGCAAGUCGAACGGUAACAGGUCUUUCGGGAUGCUGACGAGUGGCGGACGGGUGAGGAAUACAUCGGAAUCUGCUCAGUCGUGGGGGAUAACGCAUGGAAACGUGCGCUAAUACCGCAUACGACCUUCGGGUGAAAGCAGGGGAAUCUUUAGGGAUCCUUGCGCGAUUGAAUGAGCCGAUGUCGGAUUAGCUAGUUGGUAGGGUAAAAGCCUACCAAGGCGACGAUCCGUAGCUGGUCUGAGAGGAUGAUCAGCCACACUGGGACUGAGACACGGCCCAGACUCCUGCGGGAGGCAGCAGUGGGGAAUAUUGGACAAUGGGGGCAACCCUGAUCCAGCCAUACCGCGUGGGUGAAGAAGGCCUUCUGGGUUGUAAAGCCCUUUUGUUGGGGAAGAAAAACAACGGGUUAAUACCCCGUUGGUAUGACGGUACCCAAAGAAUAAGCACCGGCUAACUUCGUGCCAGCAGCCGCGGUAAUACGAAGGGUGCAAGCGUUACUCGGAAUUACUGGGCGUAAAGGGUGCGUAGGUGGUUGCGCCAGUCUGUCGUGAAAGCCCUGGGCUUAACCUGGGAAUGGCGAUGGAAACUGUGCAACUAGAGUGUGACAGAGGGUGGUGGAAUUCCUGGUGUAGCAGUGAAAUGCGUAGAGAUCAGGAGGAACAUUCGUGGCGAAGGCGGCCACCUGGGUCAACACUGACACUGAGGCACGAAAGCGUGGGGAGCAAACAGGAUUAGAUACCCUGGUAGUCCACGCCCUAAACGAUGCGAACUGGAUGUUGGGUCCAACUUGGGAUUCAGUAUCGAAGCUAACGCGUUAAGUUCGCCGCCUGGGGAGUACGGUCGCAAGACUGAAACUCAAAGGAAUUGACGGGGGCCCGCACAAGCGGUGGAGUAUGUGGUUUAAUUCGAUGCAACGCGCAGAACCUUACCUGGCCUUAACAUGCACGGAACCUUU
This 1002-nucleotide ribosomal RNA is filed under the name uncultured Lysobacterales bacterium. RNAcentral describes it as "bacterial SSU rRNA". It matches the Rfam family "Bacterial small subunit ribosomal RNA", at positions 9 to 1000 of the family's 1533-position model. The record is from RNAcentral. Lineage: Bacteria; Pseudomonadati; Pseudomonadota; Gammaproteobacteria; Lysobacterales.